This 409-nucleotide ribosomal RNA is filed under the name uncultured bacterium. RNAcentral's name for it is "bacterial SSU rRNA". It matches the Rfam family "Bacterial small subunit ribosomal RNA", at positions 28 to 432 of the family's 1533-position model. The record is from RNAcentral.
GAUGAACGCUAGCGGCAGGCUUAAUACAUGCAAGUCGAGGGGCAGCACGGUUAGCAAUAACUGGUGGCGACCGGCGCACGGGUGCGUAACACGUAUACAAUCUACCUUAAACAGGGGGAUAGCCUUUCGAAAGAGAGAUUAAUACCCCGUAAUAAAUUGAACGGCAUCGUUUGAUUUUGAAAGCUCCGGCGGUUUGAGAUGAGUAUGCGUCUGAUUAGCUAGUUGGUGAGGUAACGGCUCACCAAGGCGACGAUCAGUAGGGGAUCUGAGAGGACUAACCCCCACACUGGUACUGAGACACGGACCAGACUCCUACGGGAGCAGCAGUAAGGAAUAUUGGUCAAAUGGGAAGGCAACUCUGAACCAGCCAUGCCGCGUGCAGGAUGACGGCCCUAUGGGUUGUAAACUG